Molecule: non-coding RNA, 71 nt
Organism: Danio rerio (zebrafish)
Lineage: Eukaryota; Metazoa; Chordata; Actinopteri; Cypriniformes; Danionidae
Source: Rfam
GCAUUGGUGUUUCACUGGUAGAAUUCUCGCCUGCCACGCGGGAGACCCGGGUCCGAUUCCCGGCCAAUGCA